Aspergillus nidulans FGSC A4 is the source of this 88-nucleotide transfer RNA. It matches the Rfam family "tRNA". Rfam says of the family: Transfer RNA (tRNA) molecules are approximately 80 nucleotides in length. Their secondary structure includes four short double-helical elements and three loops (D, anti-codon, and T loops). Further hydrogen bonds mediate the characteristic L-shaped molecular structure. tRNAs have two regions of fundamental functional importance: the anti-codon, which is responsible for specific mRNA codon recognition, and the 3' end, to which the tRNAs corresponding amino acid is attached (by aminoacyl-tRNA synthetases). tRNAs cope with the degeneracy of the genetic code in two manners: having more than one tRNA (with a specific anti-codon) for a particular amino acid; and 'wobble' base-pairing, i.e. permitting non-standard base-pairing at the 3rd anti-codon position. The record is from Rfam. Lineage: Eukaryota; Fungi; Ascomycota; Eurotiomycetes; Eurotiales; Aspergillaceae.
GCACUAGUGGUCCAGCGGUAGGAUUUUCGCCUUCCAAGGUCACGUGACAUGCAAGCGAAAGGCUCGGGUUCGACUCCCGGCUGGUGCA